GACGAACGCUGGCGGCGUGCUUAACACAUGCAAGUCGAACGGAAAGGCCCUGCUUUUGUGGGUUGCUCGAUUGGCGAACGGGUGAGUAACACGUGAGUAACCUGCCCUUGACUUUGGGAUAACUUCAGGAAACUGGGGCUAAUACCGGAUAGGAUCUCCUGCUGCAUGUUGGGGGUUGGAAAGUUUCGGCGGUUGGGGAUGGACUCGCGGCUUAUCAGCUUGUUGGUGGGGUAGUGGCUUACCAAGGCUUUGACGGGUAGCCGGCCUGAGAGGGUGACCGGCCACAUUGGGACUGAGAUACGGCCCAGACGCCUACGGGAGGCAGAAGGGGGGAAUAUUGCACAAUGGGCGGAAGCCUGAUGCAGAAACGCCGCGUGCGGGAUGACGGCCUUCGGGUUGUAAACAGCUUUCGCCUGUGACGAAGAGUGAGUGACGGUAAUGGGUAAAGAAGCAACGGCUAACUACGUG
RNAcentral lists this ribosomal RNA (468 nucleotides) under uncultured bacterium. RNAcentral describes it as "partial 16S ribosomal RNA". It matches the Rfam family "Bacterial small subunit ribosomal RNA", at positions 28 to 507 of the family's 1533-position model. The record is from RNAcentral.